RNAcentral lists this transfer RNA (99 nucleotides) under Blattabacterium sp. (Cryptocercus punctulatus) str. Cpu. Its description in RNAcentral is "tRNA-Ile". The stretch from base 1 to 74 matches the Rfam family "tRNA". From Rfam's summary of the family: Transfer RNA (tRNA) molecules are approximately 80 nucleotides in length. The record is from RNAcentral. Lineage: Bacteria; Pseudomonadati; Bacteroidota; Flavobacteriia; Flavobacteriales; Blattabacteriaceae.
AGUCUCGUAGCUCAGACGGUUAGAGCGCUACACUGAUAAUGUAGAGGUCCGCGGUUCAAUUCCGCGCGAGACUACUUUCCCAAAAAAAGGGGGGGGGGA